RNAcentral lists this long non-coding RNA (591 nucleotides) under Hordeum vulgare. Its description in RNAcentral is "long non-coding RNA (HVUL_LNC021537)". Lineage: Eukaryota; Viridiplantae; Streptophyta; Magnoliopsida; Poales; Poaceae. The record is from RNAcentral.
GUCUUUUGAAAGAUACAUAGAAGAUUAAAAAAAGGAACAAAAGCAUGAAAAAGCUGAAUGCAAAUAGGAAAACCGAGAACAAAACAAUACCUGGUUUAGGGAACCUUCUAGAAGGUUCCCAAAACCAGUUCAUUUUUAUUCUUAGAUACGCCGUGUAAGCGAACGGGCGGCCCAUUGCGACGCUUUGGCUGGUCGACUGUGCCAAACGCCAUCAGUUUGACGCAAGAAGCGUCAUAUAGGAUAUUCCCAAUUACCCAAGCGCUAAGGGCAUGUUUGUUAGAUGAAUUUCACCCAGCCAAGCUAUGGCCUGCACAAAAAUGUUGGCCUACGUAAACCUCAAAUCAGACAUGGGCCUCGUUGAGAAGAAACACUUGAAUUGACUGUUUUUUAUAGGCAAGAGCAAGAGAGCAAGCAAGCAAGAUGAUGCACACGUGGUGUGACAAUACAUGCAUUCUAUUCUCACCUCCUACAUUCUAAUCUCACCUCCCUUAAUCUUCUUCACCAAACCCUUUCUAAUCUUCACAAUGGCAUUGCCAUUGUAAUUUCAUGCAGGCAACUGUUCCUAGUAAUUUUGUAAUGUCUCCAUUUUUU